Gallus gallus (chicken) is the source of this 2802-nucleotide long non-coding RNA. The record is from Ensembl. NCBI's taxonomy places the organism in Eukaryota, Metazoa, Chordata, Aves, Galliformes, Phasianidae.
AGAGAGAAUGUGGAGUCUCCUUCCCCGGAGUUAUUCAAAAGCCACCUGGACACCAUCCCAGGCAACCCGCUGUAGGGACCCUGCAGGGAGGUUGGACUUCAGAGGUCCCUUCCAACCUCAACCAUUGCAUAACUCUGUGAAUGCUUCCUAUUGAAGGAAAUCCAUGAGACCUGAAUAAUUAAUAAUGUUACCAGUUAAAAAUUGACUAAAAUUAUCAAAACGAUGCUGAAAAAGAUGUUAAUUGCUUGGCCCACAUUCUUCCCUCAGUGGGAAAUUAUAUUGACAAAUAUCAUACACCAAGAGAAAUCUUGUGGUCAUGAAAUAACACUUGUUACAAAUCAAUCAAUAGUAAUCAUGAAGUUUUGUUGCUUUUUUAAAACUGCUUCAGGAUUCAAUCUAUAUUAAGAUAAUAUAAUUUUAGUAAGGUGGGUUUUUCCUUUUUUUUUUUUUUUUUUCCCUGCUUCAUCUAAAGGUGAUUCAUGUUUUUGGGGGGACAAAAUAAAAUAAAUACGAUGAAAACUUUUAAAUGAUUUUAACAAAACAAGUCAUUAUCGAGCAUGGGCAAAAUCAUUCAGUUAAAUUGCACUCGUGGUUGAAAUUAAUUUUCUGAAGCAAGUUCUGAAAGGGGUAGUAGCCAACAAUCAAUAAUCUCUUAAUGAGGUGCAAGAAAAACAUGUGUAGACAUGACAGGUUUUGAUGGCUAAUGAGCUUCAGAGGAUGAACACUGUUCAGAGGAAAACUCUGAAAGGCACAGAAAAUUGAUUAAUUGCCAGCCUACGAUAUUGCAGGAAAACAUUUGGAAAUUCAACAGCCCUCAGACCUCAUGUCAUUUACACCUUCAAUGUGACGUGUUAAUUUUAAGGAAACAUUAUAGCUGAAGGGCGUUGUUUUUCCUCCCUUUCUCUCCCUAGUAGCUAACUCACGAUCAAUCUGCUUGCUGUGAUUUUUUUCCUCAGAAACGAAGUUACCUGAUAAAACUUCCCCAUAAUGUUUACUGGAAUGAAUAACAAAAUGCAAAAGACAGACCACAGGGGGUCCUGAUUCUCUUUUGUGUUAAUAGCUGCUCUGCUGCAUGUAAGACAUAACUAGGCUAACAGACAUUUUGGUCUUCUGUCACUUAUAUUCACAAGUGUCAGCAAUACAACAUAAAAGAGUUUUCAUUUACCAAGAAAAUGAUCAAAAGAUCAUGACCUAUUUUCCUGCAGUUAAACACCUUCUUUUAAGAUGCAGAACUAACCUCUGUUCUACUUCCUACCAGUAGCUCACCUAAGUGGGAACACGUGAUCUGAGCCUGGGAAACUUGAGCUUGGGUUUUAUUGGUAGGACUGUUCUCCAGUCCCUGAGCCUCACAGGAAGGCCUGGAGCAAAGAUUUAACCCCUGUUGAAGAGGAUCAAUUUAGGGAAUGCUGGGAAUGGUGGCUGAUGUCUCUACGAGGCCACUCUUGAUAAUAGCAAGGAGAUAGAAGUUUCCUGUGGACUGGAUGAAAGCAAGCAUCACUCUCAUCUUCAAGAAGGACAAGGAGAAUAAUCCAGAGAACUACAGGUGCAUCAGCCUAGCCUUGAUCUCGAGGAAGCUGCUGAAGCAAAUCCUCCUGCAAACCACUUAUGAAGGACAAAAAACUGACUGAGUAAUCAGGGUGGAUUUCAGAAGGGCAAAUCUGACCAGUCUGGUAGCCCUUUGCAAAAAGAUGGCUGACUUGGCAGAUUCUCCUGUGUCUAACAAGGUGCUGGACCUUCCCCCUCAAGGCUUUCCUGGAGCUGGAGUGCUAUUCUCGUCUCUCCCCAUGUGGGUUCCUUCACAUCUAACAAGGGAUGGACUACUCACCCUUGGGAAAUCCAUCAGGAUGUAAACUAUCACCUCUCUGUCAAACCCGGCUGGAACAGACCAGCAGAUUUAGAAGUCAUGAGGACAGUGAACAGGCAAAUGCAUGUGUAUAUACACACACACAAACGUACACCCAUGUGCUCAUAAGCCUGGUUUCCUAAGGAAACCAGACUAAAAAUAACUGUGUUUGGGUUAUGAAAAGCUAUGGUUGCAAUAUGAGUCGCGUUUCCGCUCGCUGUCAGCAUGCAUUAGAGAUCUUUCUAUUUACACAUUUCCAUGGCCUGUCUCAAAAGACGAUCUGUUAUUUCUCCUAUGAUCUUCUCCUAGCAUCUUGAUAUUUUUUACCACUGUAUAUUCAUACUGCUUUCCUUGUCAGAACACCCCCAAGAAGACUGCCAGUAUAGGCGCAGAUAUUCUAUGUGAAACUUCUUUGCAAUAAGUAUUUUUAUAAGUCAUCAAUUUUAAUAGUUGCUAGAACAGUACAUCUUGUUUUCAACCUGCAGCGUAGCCUGCUUUAUAUACAACUCAGGCAGAAAGCUAUAAAAGGUAAUUUAGCUGUUAACUGCCAAUCUAUAUACGCCAGCAAAAAUGCAAUGUCACUCAAAACCACUAUAUUUAGUCAGAACGUGGCAUAAGGAGUUAACAGAGGUCUUUUUUCCCCUUCACAGAAACUAUUUCUGUAGUUUCAGUCUGGUGCAUGCAAGGCAACACAAGCUAAAGGUUUCUGCACAAGUAUACCUCUUGUUUUUCUAAAAAAAUACACUGUAGUAUUUGAGAUCUGCUGUAAUGCUCUUGCAAACUUUUAAGUGUGGCAUUCAAGGCACUUGGGUUUUUUUUCCUCCACUGACUGCUUCCAACUGACCACCAUACCCUCCUCUCCAGCACAGUCUUAUUUAUGUUUCUUUGAAAGCAUGAGCCUCACAAAAUUGCUCUUUUUUUUUUUGGUCAUCUUUCCUUACAAUAAACGUGUUUCAUCU